GGAAUUUGAUCUUGGUUCAGAUUGAAUGCUGACGGCGUGGAUGAGGCAUGCAAGUCGAACGGGACUAUGAGCUUGCUUAUAGUUUAGUGGCGAAAGGGUUAGUAAUACAUGGAUAACCUACCUUUUACUUUGGGAUAACAGUUGGAAACGGCUGCUAAUACCGGAUGUUAUGAUGUGAGGCAUCUCACACUCAUUAAAGUUGGGGACUUAGCGAUAAGCCUAGCGGUAAGAGAGGGGUCCAUGGGAUAUCAGCUUGUUGGUGAGGUAAAAGCUCACCAAGGCUCCGACAUCUAGGCGGACUGAGAGGUUGACCGCCAACACUGGGACUGAGACACUGCCCAGACUCCUACGGGAGGCUGCAGUCGAGAAUCAUUCGCAAUGGGCGCAAGCCUGACGAUGCGACGCCGUGUGAACGAAGAAGGCCUUCGGGUUGUAAAGUUCUUUCGCUUGGGGAAAAGAGCGAUAUACGAAUAGUAUAUUUAUUUGAUGGUACCAAGUAAAGAAGCACCGGCUAACUCCGUGCCAGCAGCUGCGGUAAUACGGAGGGUGCAAGCAUUAAUCGGAUUUAUUGGGCGUAAAGGGCGCGUAGGCGACUAUGUAAGUCAUGGAUGAAAUCCCCGGGCUCACCCCGGGAGCUGUCUAUGAAACUAUAUGGAUUGAGCUUAGGAGAGGAAAAUGGAAUUCCACGUGUAGCGGUGAAAUGCGUAGAUAUGUGGAAGAACAUCGGUAGCGAAGGCGAUUUUCUGGCCUAUAGCUGACGCUGAGGCGCGAAAGCAAGGGUAGCGAACAGGAUUAGAUACCCUGGUAGUCCUUGCCGUAAACGAUGCAUACUUGAUGUAGAGGGGCUCAACCCCUUCUGUGUCGUAGCUAACGUGUUAAGUAUGCCGCCUGAGGAGUACACUCGCAAGGGUGAAACUCAAAAGAAUUGACGGGGACCCGCACAAGCAGUGGAGCAUGUGGUUUAAUUCGAUGCAACGCGAAGAACCUUACCCAGUCUUGACAUGCAGAGGACGCUAUUAGAGAUAAUAGUUUCCGUAAGGACCUCUGUGCAGGUGCUGCAUGGCUGUCGUCAGCUCGUGCCGUGAGGUGUUGGGUUAAGUCCCGCAACGAGCGCAACCCUUAUCAUUAGUUGCCAGCAUUUCGGAUGGGGACUCUAAUGAGACUGCCCGGGUGAACCGGGAGGAAGGUGAGGAUGACGUCAAGUCCGCAUGGCCCUUAUGACUGGGGCUACACACGUGCUACAAUGGUCGAUACAGAAGGCAGCGAAGCCGUAAGGUGGAGCAAAUCCUAUAAAGUCGAUCUCAGUUCGGAUUGUAGGCUGCAACUUGCCUACAUGAAGUUGGAAUUGCUAGUAAUGGCGUGUCAGCAAUAACGCCGUGAAUACGUUCCCGGGUCUUGUACACACCGCCCGUCACAUCAUGGUAGUUGGUUUUACCCGAAGUCGUUGACCCAACCGCAAGGGGGGAGGCGCCGAAGGUGAGGCUGAUAACUGGGAUGAAGUCGUAACAAGGUA
Molecule: ribosomal RNA, 1513 nt
Filed under: metagenome
Description: bacterial SSU rRNA
Rfam family: Bacterial small subunit ribosomal RNA
Source: RNAcentral